This 430-nucleotide ribosomal RNA is filed under the name uncultured soil bacterium. Its description in RNAcentral is "bacterial SSU rRNA". It matches the Rfam family "Bacterial small subunit ribosomal RNA", at positions 26 to 465 of the family's 1533-position model. The record is from RNAcentral.
AGAUUGAACGCUGGCGGCAUGCCUUACACAUGCAAGUCGAACGGUAACGCGGGGCAACCUGGCGACGAGUGGCGAACGGGUGAGUAAUGCAUCGGAACGUGCCCAAUAGUGGGGGAUAGCUCGGCGAAAGCCGGAUUAAUACCGCAUACGACCUACGGGUGAAAGCGGGGGAUCGCAAGACCUCGCGCUAAUGGAGCGGCCGAUGUCAGAUUAGGUUGUUGGUGGGUAAAAGCCUACCAAGCCGACGAUCUGUAGCUGGCCUGAGAGGACGACCAGCCACACUGGGACUGAGACACGGCCAGACCUCCGACGGGAGCAGCAGUGGGAAUUUGGACAAGUGGGGCAACCUGAUCCAGCCAUGCCGCGUAGCGGAAGAAGGUCCGUUCGGUUGUAACGUCUUUGUCGAGGAAGAACGCUACCGAAGACUAAC